Molecule: ribosomal RNA, 479 nt
Filed under: uncultured bacterium
Lineage: Bacteria
Description: partial 16S ribosomal RNA
Rfam family: Bacterial small subunit ribosomal RNA
Source: RNAcentral
GAUGAACGCUAGCGGGAGGCCUAACACAUGCAAGCCGAGCGGUAUUGUUUCUUCGGAAGUGCGAGAGCGGCGUACGGGUGCGUAACACGUGUGCAACCUGCCUUUAUCUGGGGGAUAGCCUUUCGAAAGGAAGAUUAAUACUCCAUAAUAUAUUGAACGGCAUCGUUUAAUAUUGAAAGCUCCGGCGGAUAGAGAUGGGCACGCGCAAGAUUAGCUAGUUGGUGAGGUAACGGCUCACCAAGGCGAUGAUCUUUAGGGGGCCUGAGAGGGUGAUCCCCCACACUGGUACUGAGACACGGACCAGACUCCUACGGGAGGCAGCAGUGAGGAAUAUUGGUCAAUGGGUGCAAGCCUGAACCAGCCAUCCCGCGUGAAGGACGACUGCCCUAUGGGUUGUAAACUUCUUUUGUAUAGGGAUAAACCUACCCUCGAGAGGGUAGCUGAAGGUACUAUACGAAUAAGCACCGGCUAACUCCGUG